CCUACGGGCGGCUGCAGUGAGGAAUAUUGGUCAAUGGACGAGAGCCUGAACCAGCCAAGUAGCGUGAAGGAUGAAUGCCCUAUGGGUUGUAAACUUCUUUUAUAUGGGAAUAAAACGUUCCACGUGUGGGAUUUUGUAUGUACCAUAUGAAUAAGGAUCGGCUAACUCCGUGCCAGCAGCCGCGGUAAUACGGAGGAUCCGAGCGUUAUCCGGAUUUAUUGGGUUUAAAGGGAGCGUAGGUGGCUUUUUAAGUCAGUUGUGAAAGUCUGCGGCUCAACCGUAAAAUUGCAGUUGAAACUGGCAGGCUUGAGUACGGUAGAGGUGGGCGGAAUGCGUGGUGUAGCGGUGAAAUGCUUAGAUAUCACGAAGAACUCCGAUGGCGAAGGCAGUUCAC
RNAcentral lists this ribosomal RNA (394 nucleotides) under uncultured bacterium. RNAcentral's name for it is "partial 16S ribosomal RNA". It matches the Rfam family "Bacterial small subunit ribosomal RNA", at positions 338 to 729 of the family's 1533-position model. The record is from RNAcentral.